Molecule: RNA transcript, 5852 nt
Organism: Brassica napus (rape)
Lineage: Eukaryota; Viridiplantae; Streptophyta; Magnoliopsida; Brassicales; Brassicaceae
Gene name: RNA-binding protein CP29B, chloroplastic-like
Exons: 8
Source: RefSeq, a predicted model, not a curated record
UAACUACCUAAUUGAUUGACACAUAAGCAAUGAACUUUCUUUAAUUAUUACAAAAUUGAGGUUACAUGUUUUCAAAUGUUCCUAGAUUAAUAUAGGAUUUUUAUUUUAAAACCUCCCAAUUAAGUUUAUUUUGGUUAAAACUCCUAAAUUAAAGAUUUAACAGAAAACUUCCCAACCUAAAUUAUCUUAAUGAAUCAGACCCUCCGUUAAUUGUCCGUUAAAGUUCGUGAAACAACACGAUUUGUUAAUAAAAACAACACAAUGUUUAACUAAAAAUAUCAUGUAGUUUACCAUUUUCACUUUUAACAUAAAAGUUUUAAGUGUCGUAAAAGUCCCAUUACUGAGAGAUACGAGGGAUGAACCCUAAUUUUCGAAAGAAAGAUUUUGAUUAUCGUUAAUUUAGUUCUUGUGAGAAUCUGAGAGAAGCUGUGUUCGUGAGUUCAAACACAAUGACAAUCUUAACUCUUGACAUAAAAUAAGUACAAAAACAACACUUGAAACACAAUCAAAAUGUCAUAGAAACUAGUUAAAAACAACACUUUCACCACUAAAACAAGCUGCAACCACAACUCUAUCUUAGCAACUUAAUUUAGUUAGCUUUUAACCAAACUGACUUACUUUUAUUCUUCUGGUUGUGUAACUACACAACGAAGUCUUCUUCCUUGACUUCUUCUUCCUUUCUUACUCUUCACGCUUCUUUUUCUUCUUCUUCCUUUUCUUGCGCUCCAAGCUUCUUCUUCUUCUUUAUUCUUCUUCUACAUGACUCCUUGGUCACUUCUUCUUUUUGUGUGGCAAGCUUCCUUGCUUCCACUUCUUCUUCUCUUAGAGGAUUUAAUCAAGUUUCAAUCUCAACACUCAAUGUCAAAACAAUAGCCAAAGCUAAUUCCAUUCAAAUCUAAUUCCAUUCAAAUUUCGCCUAAAUAGCACAAUCAAUUGAAAACAAAACUUUAAACAAAUUAGAAAAAUCACAUAACAAAGUGAAAGCAAAAGAGAACAAAACGAAAGGCAUAAGGUACACGAAUCACCAGGGAGAAGAUGAACAAUUAUAAACUUGAAAAUUUGAAGAACCCUAAUUUUAACUUUGGGACUCGCCAUACAGAUAUAAGGAAGAAGAAAACCAUGUCGUUUUUUUUUGCACUUAUUAAACUAUGAGUUCCAUUUAGACGGAGAUUUUCAAAUUUAUAACGGGACAACUAAUGGAGGGUCUGAUUCACUAAGAUAAUUUAGGUUGGGGGGUUUUUUAUUGAAUAUUUAAUUUAGGAGUUUUUAUCCAAAAAAAAACUUCAUUGGGGGGUUUUUACAUUAAAAAUUCAUUAAUAUAUAGGGGAUUGUUCCAUGUUACAUUGGUAUUUUUAUUAUUAAAUACAAUAGUAUUAUAAUUUUUUUUUUCGAGUGUUUUUAUUAAUCAAAGAAUAUUUUGACGGAAGUCCAACUAAUCUUCUAUAAAAGUAUCGACGAAUAAUUCGAUCCUGAGUUUUCAAAUAAGGUUUAAGACAUGAUUUCAUGUCUUGCCUGACCAAGCAAAUGACAAUUUAGUUUCUGGCAGAAUUCAAAUCCAUGACUGACAAAUUUACGAUUUGUCCCAAGUUCUCCUUUUACCAUCAUGCUAUCACUGUUUGGCUUCUCUCGUGUUACACAACAAAAAUUGGAUCAUCAGACAAUUUUUAAAGGCUGUGAUUUUUUUUCUUAAAAAAUCAUUGUUGAGAAAUAUAUCUAAACAUUAACCAAAAAUAAAAUAAAAUAAGUUGGUAACACAAACAAAACAGAAAAGACAAAUCAAAUUAUAAGCGCAUUAACCUACAAUUUUUUUUUUUUUUUUGCUUAAACUUUGGUAAACCUACAAAUUAGAACCACAAAUAAAUUAAGAAGAUCAAAUUAUAAACAAAUUAAAGUACAAGUUAAAACUGAUUUAUGUUUGUAUUGUGAAUUCUUAGACUUGGUUUCUACCGGACGAUAUACAUACAACUUGGGGAUGAACAAGUACGUCAUGACAGCAUGGAGGUGAAAUCUGCGAGCAACAAGUAAGACUAUCGACAUGGGCUCGGUUCAGGUUAGUGUUGAACCAGCUUUCCCCACUGUUUCUUCCGGUAGCUCAAUCAACCACAGUGAAAAAGACCCAUGGCACUCAAAGAAAGCGCGAAAACGAAUGCUCCUUAGCUCCGUUGAGACUUGGUCGUAGAAGAAUUAUUGUGUUCCCACCAAAGAAAAUACUACACCGAUCUUCUGUUAGAUUAGAUAUUUGAAGGGAUUUUAAACGUGCAUCUCAAAAUUAUAUUGUCCAUGUUCAGACAACAAAAUAUUGGUUAAACCUUUUGCUUUAAGUGUGGUCUUACUAUUUUUUGGGAACUAAUCUUUUAUUUUCUUAGUUCAGUUUUGAAAUACUCAAUUUGUUAUUUUGUUUUCAAAUUGUAAACCUUAUCGGCUGUCUUAUAGGCUUACAGCGCCAACCACUGAGUUGAGUUUUGGCUGUUACUUUGGCUUUAAUGUGCAAGAUAAAAUAGACAAAAAUUCCAGACAAUGCAAAUCUAUAUGUUGUCACCAAUUUUCGAUUUUUAGAAUGAUAGAUUCAUGUUGAUGUUAGAUUCGGAUUAAUUAUGGGCUUCCAACUUAAAACCAAUUGGCAAUUAGUGGAUUGGCCCAAGUCCCUUAUAUAUUACUCAAGUCCCUUAGAAUUCCCGAUGUGGGAUAUAUAUCCCUAAUACCCCUCCUCGAGAUGAUGGCUCUUAUCGGCCAGAAAUCUCGAAAUUUUUUAAGACAGUUAUACUCGGUCGAGCGAGUCAAUUAUGAUCUUUAUACCCGGUCGGAUAGGGUUAUAUUAAUUAGGGGUAUAACGUAUUUAGGAUCUGAACUCUGAUACCAUGUUAAAUAUAAUAGAAUAAAUAUAUUAUUGUGUUGUGUGUUAAUGACUUACAAGAGUGUUGUAUAUAUACACAAGACUUAGACCUAUCUCAACUAACAAUAGAAAUUAUCUAAAUCUUAUGAUAUAUAUCUAAAAUAACUAAUCCUUAUCACAAGUGGAUUUAUAUAAUAUUCUUCGGUUUGGGUUUCAUAGACUUCAUGAGCUUCACUUCAUAAUUGGACUUCAACGGUCCAUAACAAUUGGUUCGCAAGAUAGACAUUUUGCUCUCCAAUAUAUCUCCAAUACUCCCCCGCACGACAAACGUGGGAUGCAACACGCAAAGCUGCAUUACAAAACAGACCAUGUAUGACGUGGACAAUAUUGUCGAGGAAAAAAUUUAGUAGAUUCCUCCGAAUAAAAAACAUCAACUUCAACUUCAACUUUAAACAAGGAAGGUGAAACUUCAACUUUCUUUAGUUUUGACAAUAGGAAUAUAUCCCGUGGACGCAACUGCAGUUCCAAGAACAAUCAUCUUUAUCUGGGAUAGUCUAUAACACGGACUAAAAACUUGACCUAAAUACGUAAGUGUUCUAUUAGAACCCCCUCUAGUGGUUAAACUAUAACCAAAGUAUCCCAAACUAUGGAAUAUAACACAAGAAAUCUUUGAGAAAUUCUAGACUAUAGAAUAAUCUCUAACUAUAAAAAUAUUCCAAACUAUGGAAAACAACACUUUGAAUAUUCUAAACUACAGAAUAAAUCUCAGACAAAAUCAACCCAUAUGAAACCCACAAACCCUUAAACAUCAUUAAACCUCUCUUUAAUUUUUGCACUCACCGGCCACGUACCCAAAACAAAACCCACUACCAUUCUUAAUUAAUAAAAAAAACAAAUCCUAUUAGUCAGAGAUCACGUUAACUUAUUUCAAGCUUUUGUUGCUUCACGUCUUGAUAGUCUCCGUCUUCAUCAUCGUCAACAGCACCGAUGAUGAUCAUCAUCAAAGCUUAGAAGUUAUAAUGCGGAAGCUUUAAUUUUGAUCCCUAAAAAUCGAAUACUCUGAUACCAUGUAAAAUAUAAUAUUCUUCGGUUUGGGUUUCAUAGACUUUAUGAGCUUAACUUCAUAGACUUCAACGGUCCAUAACAAUUGGUUCGCAAGAUACACAUUUUGCUCUCCAAUAUAUCUCCAAUAGUUGACAUAUAUAUUUUGUGAUUAAGUUUGUUUCUUGAUUAUAUAUUUUGUGAUUAAGUCUGUUUUCUUGUUUUUGAUAAGAUUUGAUGUAUGAAAAGAUUAUUGAUGAACGUGUUACGUGAACAACUCAAGUUUCUCCAGUUUCUCAAGUUCUCAACCACACUCCGAAGACUUGUGGGCUCUCAACAUUAAGAUUCUUGUUGAUAUCUUAUAACAGAAGUUAACUCUCUUCUCCUCUUGCCACCUCAUCAAAUAGGGCAAGGAGGAGGCUACACCUGUCCCAUAAAUUAAAACACACCGUUUCUUUAACUUGGCAAUGAAUUGAUGCGGGCUUAUCUAUGUGUUUUAGGCCUUAUGUGUGGAUAAAAAGACUAGCCGGCCAGCCCAAUAGGAUUCGACGCAAUCCUCUCUUAACGCCGUCAACCCUAUCUCGUCUCUUCCUCCUCCAUGGCUGCUUCAGCUUCGUCCCUCGCUCUCUCCACCUUCAACCCUAAAUCCCUUCCUUUCUCCAUCUCCAAACCUGCAUCCACUUCCCUCCUACCUCUUCCCUCUCCUUCGAACUCAACUCCCAAUCUAUUUCCCUCUCCAUCUUCGCUUCCUCCGCCGCGUCUCGCUUCGUCCGCAACGUCGCGGUUACAGACGACUUCAACGUAGAAGAAUAAGGGAACAUUUUCUCCGAUGAGGCUCUGCCGCCUCCGCAGCAGGAGCAAUCCUUCUCUGCUGACCUUAAACUCUUCGUCGGUAACCUUCCCUUUAACGUCGAUAGUGCUCAGCUCACUCAGCUCUUCGAAAGCGCCGGAAACGUUGAGAUGGUUGAGGUGAUCUAUGACAAAGUGACAUGACGAAGCAGGGGUUUCGGGUUCGUGACUAUCUCUUCUGUGUCUGAAGUUAAGGUAGCUGCUCAGCAAUUCAAUGGCUAUACAUCAUAGGGGCUGUACGAGACAUCAACAUUACUUUUAAUGAUCAGACUUGGACAGCUCAACACAUUAUGAUUAACAGUUCUACAACUGUUUCUCUAAGUGUUUUUGAUGCACAAGCGGACCAGCUAAAACAAAAUAUCUUGGCCAUCGGUGUGGCAAAGGUGAUCGUCGCAACCAGCAUUAACCCCAAGUUUGUUGGAGGUAACAUUCGGUGUGGGAAAGGUGAUCGUCGCAACCAACAUCAACCCCAAGUUUAUAGGGGGUGGACUAUACCUGGAUGCUACUUCUGGGAUCCAUUUUUACUUUGACCAUGAGGUGGCCGCAAGCCGGAGACUAUUUCAAGAGUUGUAUUCAAAACCCGAGAAGGACACUACCAGUGCAAAGCAGUACCAUGGUGUAAAGAAGCUCGAAAAGGUUUCACUAGGAGAGUUGAACAACUAUGCUCUGGAGUCACCCCCACAAGCCAUUGAGUUUCUAUGCAAAGCCAAGAUCGCAUCACUGGAAACUACAAACGGAUGGUGUUACAUCUCCUGUGCUAAAUGCUCCAAGAAGCUCCAGCGAGGGAACUCUUUGUUCACAUGCCCUACAUGUUUUAAUGCCAGUGCUGUUGGAGUUGUCAGGUAUCGUGUUGAGCUGCUGGUGGAGGCGGGUGAUGAUAAAUCUCUCUUUGUAGCAUUCGACUCAGCUAUGACUAAGCUGACAGGAAUCGGGGCUGCAGAAGUUGCGAUGGAGUGAUUGAAGCUUCAAGUUAUGUACAAGCUCCAUCAAUCUGACAUAUCUUGAUUAAAACAAAACACAAAAUUGUAGAUUGGAUUAGUGAAAGUUUUAUCUUCACUUACCAUUGUUAGAUUUCUUUUACUAACUUUUUGUUUCUCAUAUGAAAGAAAGCUGAGAUCUCGCAUUUUAU